ACGAAGUGCUGUAGCUUAGUGGCGGACGGGUGAGUAACACGUGAGCAACCUACCUUUUGCAGGGGAAUAACUCUGGGAAACCAGAGCUAAUACCGCAUGCCGUGCGCUUGGGGCAUCCCAGGUGCAUGAAAGGAGCAAUCCGGCAGAAGAUGGGCUCGCGUCCGAUUAGGUAGUUGGAGAGGUAAUGGCUCCCCAAGCCGACGAUCGGUAGCCGGACUGAGAGGUCGAUCGGCCACAUUGGGACUGAGACACGGCCCAGACUCC
RNAcentral lists this ribosomal RNA (264 nucleotides) under uncultured bacterium. RNAcentral's name for it is "partial 16S ribosomal RNA". It matches the Rfam family "Bacterial small subunit ribosomal RNA", at positions 66 to 339 of the family's 1533-position model. The record is from RNAcentral.